AUUGAACGCUGGCGGCAGGCCUAACACAUGCAAGUCGGACGGUAGCACAGAGGAGCUUGCUCCUUGGGUGACGAGUGGCGGACGGGUGAGUAAUGUCUGGGGAUCUGCCCGAUAGAGGGGGAUAACCACUGGAAACGGUGGCUAAUACCGCAUACCGUCGCAAGACCAAAGAGGGGGACCUUCGGGCCUCCCACUAUCGGAUGAACCCAGAGGGGAUUAGCUAGUAGGCGGGGUAAUGGCCCACCUAGGCGACGAUCCCUAGCUGGUCUGAGAGGAUGACCAGCCACACUGGAACUGAGACACGGUCCAGACUCCUACGGGAGGCAGCAGUGGGGAAUAUUGCACAAUGGGCGCAAGCCUGAUGCAGCCAUGCCGCGUGUAUGAAGAAGGCCUUCGGGUUGUAAAGUACUUUCAGCGGGGAGGAAGGCGGUGCGGUUAAUAACCGCGCCGAUUGACGUUACCCGCAGAAGAAGCACCGGCUAACUCCGUGCCAGCCGCCGCGGUAA
RNAcentral lists this ribosomal RNA (506 nucleotides) under uncultured bacterium. Its description in RNAcentral is "partial 16S ribosomal RNA". It matches the Rfam family "Bacterial small subunit ribosomal RNA", at positions 29 to 523 of the family's 1533-position model. The record is from RNAcentral.